GGCAUUUCUGUCUGGACCAUCUACCUAGGCUGCCCCACCUCCUGUCCUUCAGAAUACGGGGCAGUGGCAGCACUGGAAUGUCAAGCCUGUCUGAAGGGCAUCUGGUUCAGCCGUUUUGAGGUGGAGGGAGGGGAGGGAGAGACCCUCAGGGAGGGAGCAAAGAGGAAACCGCAUCAUCGAGAUGAGCACUUCCUGUUGGUGUGAACAUCUCUCUCCUCUUCCACCCAGAAGAUCCGAGAGGCCGCGGUGGGUCUGAGGCUGAUGUGCAGAUUCGUCCACUGGCCUCUUUCCCACUCCAGUGGAGCAAACAGUGUUGCAGAUGGGGAAGCCGGGCUUCGACAGCACCCAGUUAAGCUGAUGGUCACACUUGACACCCUGGGAUGAAGCAAAGAAGGCCACCUGGCAGGAACAUUACACCAACCUGCCAGCUGAACCCUGCAAAUCCACAGCUCCUUGACUGGCUAAGCAGGGGCUUUGAACUAACUCCAUUAUUCAAAGUGAAGACACCCCUGGGGAGAGACAGCAGCAGCUGUACCAGAUAAAACUUCGUAUCAAUAAUUUAGCAGAGAGGAGAUUUUGAUAGGAUACAGGAAAAGGGAUCCAGAAAUGAAAUAAAUUGUGCAAGGCAACUGUUCCUUCCUUCCUUGUUUUUGCUGAGUUUGUGAGCCUAGGUGCAAGGUGAGGAAAGGUCUUGUAUUCUCCCCGGCUCCCUGGCUUCCCCUCCCCUACAGGACGAACCUCCCGCUUCAUAGUGGGCAACAAGCUAGACCAUGGAUGAGACUCUGUGGGCGCGUCUCUUACACAAAGGGGCGGGGCCCACCUACCACCGCCCACAAAUGACCAAACAGACACAAAGGAGUGCUGACCUAGGAUCCUGUGGGAAGGGUGAGGUUAUAGAGACUUCAGGAGCUCCAGAAAAGCAUGGAGCUAGAGGCAGGAAGAAAAGGAGGGCACUAGAGGGGAAGAAAGGAAGCCAGACGGGAAUUUUUGAAGAGGUGGAUUCCAGCAACCUAUUUACAAGUCACAUAUCCACUCUUUCAAGAAGUAACAGUUGAAAUACAUAAAAUACCAUCAAAAUCCCCUGUUGACUGUUAGUUAGCUCCAAUGAAUAGAGGAGGACAGGAUUCGGCAACAAGGUUUUAUGAAGUUCCUUUUGUUUCUAUCACUUAACUCCGUGCUUACAGGAAUAAAACGGAGACUAGUGAGCACACUACAGAGGAAAUACAUAUCCUAUUUCAAGGUCAACUACUAACGGGUAGAAAGAGUUUUACUGUGUCCCUCCAGAGAUGUCAAAACUUAAAUAAUGGAAGCAGCAUUUCCUUGAUUCUUCUCUGAUGGAGAGUUUUUCCUAAUGACUGGUGCUUUACAGCUUGGGUAGUCUGAACUGGUCAUGAAAACACAUCAAAAGUAUGGAAUCAGUACUAAGAGUUUUUAAAAGUACCACCAGGCAAAGACGGGUUUGUCUACUGCGCGGUCUUGGAACUAGAACACAGUACCAAUUUAUCUUUACCUACAAUGGAAAUCACGCCAAAUAUCUUCCCUUCGGUCAGCCCAUGAUCUAAAUCGGACUGCCUCCCCUCCCCCUAAGUUUGUAAAGAGUCCCCCACAGCUGCUACUGGUAUGGAAGAGUAUUAUCCUAUAGCAUCGAUGUCAUCAUCGUUUAGAAGCCAGGUCAUAGUUUUAAAACCAGGAAGCAUCUGUAGCAUAUAAAAUUACUUUCAACUUCUGAGGCUUCCAGGCCUAAAGCCAAAAGGUAAUGAGUUACCUCAAAAAUAUUUCUUCACCAGAAAGAAAUUAUUUGGGGGGUAAGGGGUGAAACAAAAGCAAUUCACACCACCUUACCCAGGGGUGAAGAGUAACCAUCCAUCGCGCCUUGCUUUCCAUCUCUUCAUUUUCUGUUCCCUGCCUUUUCCUCCAAGACCAAAAUUCUUUGCAUGCCCCAAUUCUGCAUCCUCUCUACAACAUUCCCCAAAGGCCUGCUCUUCAGCUCUGGGGGCUAAAGGCAUUCCGAGUCCACAAGCUUUUCAUUAUUGCUUAUAUUUCUUUUCUGCUGACCAUGAUUGCACAUGAACUUGCCAACAAUCUCUACUCAGGAGAGAGAUUCAAUUCUUUUUACGAAGAAAAAUCAUUUGGUACUUUAUUUCUCCGUGAAGCUCUCAUAAUCGAAAGGAGUUCAAUGCAUCCAGCAAGUGACUCAUUUUCCUUAAUGGCUUUCAGACACUGGCAUGCACAUUCCAACAGCCAGAGCAGGGAAGGUAGGACCGCCCCAGGUUAGACAAGGGAGGCUCCAUAUCAGCGUGCCCAGUGGAACAGGCCAGCCGGGAGCAGGGGGCUGCUUUGGAAAGGGCAUAGGCUUGGAAGCAGAUCGUCCUCGAUACACUGUCCACCAGAUAAGUUAGCCUGACUGAGCCUCAGGCUUCUCAUCUACGAAAUGGGAAUACCACCGUGUAGAGUUUCAGUGGGGAAUAAAUGAAAUAACUCUCACGCCUGGCACAUGGUCCAAUGUCAAUAAAUACUUUUGCUUUGCUCAUUCUCCGGCCUCUCUUUGAAUAUCCUCUUAGAAUACACACAGAUGUUGGGGAAUCCUCAGACUAG
Long non-coding RNA from Acinonyx jubatus (cheetah), 2595 nucleotides. RefSeq lists it as uncharacterized. NCBI's taxonomy places the organism in Eukaryota, Metazoa, Chordata, Mammalia, Carnivora, Felidae. The record is from RefSeq and is a predicted model, not a curated record. The transcript has 3 exons.